RNAcentral lists this ribosomal RNA (253 nucleotides) under uncultured bacterium. Its description in RNAcentral is "partial 16S ribosomal RNA". It matches the Rfam family "Bacterial small subunit ribosomal RNA", at positions 524 to 776 of the family's 1533-position model. The record is from RNAcentral.
UACAGAGGUGGCAAGCGUUGUUCGGAAUUACUGGGCGUAAAGGGCGCGUAGGUGGCGACCCAAGUCAAUGGUGAAAGCUCGAUGCUCAACAUCGAGUCGGCCACUGAUACUGGGUUGCUUGAGCACUGUAGAGGCUAAUGGAAUUCCGGGUGUAGCGGUGGAAUGCGUAGAGAUCCGGAAGAACACCGGUGGCGAAGGCGGUUAGCUGGGCAGUUGCUGACACUGAGGCGCGACAGCGUGGGGAGCAAACAGG